Molecule: unclassified non-coding RNA, 2255 nt
Filed under: Hevea brasiliensis (rubber tree)
Lineage: Eukaryota; Viridiplantae; Streptophyta; Magnoliopsida; Malpighiales; Euphorbiaceae
Source: RNAcentral
AACAUGGCAACACCAUAGGUACUUUACUCGAGAACACACCCAACGGAACGAAAGAUAAAACUACUUAAACGAUACGCAAUCCAAAUACGGGGACAAACAAACUACAGUUUAAAACACUGUUUGAUAAUCUACAAAACCUAAAGAUAACUAAGCAACAAAAGCAAGAAAUUGUUUUUAAAAGAUUCACCCAAAAACAUACGAAAGAGACUGAUAUUAACUCGGAGGUGAAGCUUUGGCAACCCCACCACUAGGUGGAACAGACUGCGCAGUUGGAGCUGCUUCAGAAGCAUAUGCUUGUGGCUGGGAGUAAGCACCAUAGGCGCUGUUGUAAGGAGGUGGCUGCUGUCCAUAACUAGGCGGAGCGCCAUAAGACUGGGCACCAUAACCUGGCUGAGCUGGUGGAGCACCAUAUGCAGAAGAGGGAGGUCGCUGGGCGUUGGGAUCAGCCUGGGCAUAACCUGAUUGAGCUUGAGCAGCUGGUUGAGGAUACCCGGGUUGCGCUGGGGCAGGCUGGGCAUAACCAGCUUGUGCACUAGGAGACUGCUGUGGUUGACCAUAGCUUGCCUGAGUAGGAGGUUUUUGAGCCUGAGGAGCCCCAUAACUAGCAGCAUAGCCUCCAGCUGGCUGUGUACCAUACCCACCUUGAGAAGUUGGGGGCACCCCAUAUCCAGCCUGAGCAGAGCCUUGAGAUGGGUAGCUAGGAUUAGGGCUGGGCUGCUGGCCAGAAUGAUAUCCUUGUUGAGCUGUGGCUGAUGCUGGUGGAGGUGCUUGACUGCCAUCAGUUUGGGCACCAUACGACGAGUUCUGGCCGUCUGAUGUUGGGUUUGAGGCAUUCCCAUAGCCAGCAGUAGAGCUAUAGCCUUGUUGCUGCUCAUAACCAGAACCCUGAUACCCACCAGAAUGAGGGGCAGGUACAUGAUAUCCACCAUAGCCAUCCUGGGCAUAAGCUUGUCCUUGACUGUAACCUGAGGCAGGUUGCUGGUUGUAACCAUAGGCACUAUUAUCAGUUGAAGCAGCUGAACCUCCAGCAGCUUGCUGCUGUUGUUGUGGAGCCUGUUGGUUGUAGUAAUCAUACCCUCCUGCCUGAGAUUGUUGAUUUUGAGCACCACUCUGAUCCCAGCCAGAGGCAUAUCCAGCAGAGGCAGGUUGAGGAGGGUAGCCAGGGUAAGAUGGUUGAGAAGGAUAUGCACCAGGCUGACCAUAGCCAUAACCAGAUUGUUGCAUAGGUGCACCAGGAGGGGCCCAGCUUGUAGGAGGCCGGGCCUGAUAACCCUGUUGAUAUCCUCCCGACAUCCCUUGAUUCCUAGCACGAUUCUCGCUAAUUACUUCAUACACCAGCUGCUUAGCAGCCUCAAUCUGUUCACUUGACCCGUCAAUUUGGACUGUUCUUUCCUGCGAUGUGUCACCAGGAGGCAAGUGCAAAGGGAUCACCUGAAUACGCGCUCCAGUUCUUGCCUGCAUACUUUUUAUAGUUUCACCUCCUUUUCCAAUAACAAGACCAACCUUGUUGUUAGGGACUUUCAAGGAAAACUGUUCCCCUCCAGAUUGCUGUCCAGGUAAUCUUCGGGAAACUAGACCAGAACCACCAGAAUCGGCCUCAGAAAGAACCUCAUUAAUCAACUGUUCAGCCUUAGCAAUUUGGUCUGGAGUACCCAUGAGUUCAACUGCUCUGUUUUGAGAAUUAGGAUCAGCAUCCAUGUCUCUAGUAACCUGAAUUUUGGCUCCAGACUGGAGUUGAAGAUACUUGAUGGUCUCCCCACCUUUUCCUAUAAUCACACCAACUCUGCCAUUUGGUAUUUCAAUCUUCUUGCUCUGCCCCGGAUAACCAUAUGAACUUGUAACUGAAGGAGUAACAAUGGGCUUGUGUUCAUAGGAAUCAUAUCCACCGGCACCACCGCCGUUAUUAUCAACUCUAGGUUUCUUCGCUUCAGCACUAUUCAACAACCUAGCAGCGAUCUCCUGAGCCUUCUGCUUAGCCAACUGGAAAUCAUCCAUAGGCGGCGGAACAUUGUUGUAAGACGAAGGAGGAGCAGCACCGUCAGGAGAAGAUAAGGAAGCGAUCGGAGCAGAAAAUCCAGUAGGUCUACGAGGACCAGGAGACGGUGCCGCUUGAUCAUCGUACUUCCUCUUGUUGUUACCGGCAUCUGGUGCACCGUACUGUGCUUCUUCUGCCAUUGUUGCUUUCGAUUUGCUCAGAUUUGGGGUAAAAGGAGAGCAGCGGCGGUAGGGUUUUCGAAACCCUAGUGAGAGAAGUG